RNAcentral lists this ribosomal RNA (496 nucleotides) under uncultured bacterium. RNAcentral's name for it is "partial 16S ribosomal RNA". It matches the Rfam family "Bacterial small subunit ribosomal RNA", at positions 29 to 507 of the family's 1533-position model. The record is from RNAcentral.
AUGCACGCUGGCGGCGUGCCUAAUCCAUGCCAGUCGCGCGAACAGACGAGGAGCUUGCUCCUCUGACGUUAGCGGCGGACGGGUGAGUAACACGUGGAUAACCUACCUAUAAGACUGGGAUAACUUCGGGAAACCGGAGCUAAUACCGGAUAAUAUAUUGAACCGCAUGGUUCAAUAGUGAAAGACGGUUUUGCUGUCACUUAUAGAUGGAUCCGCGCCGCAUUAGCUAGUUGGUAAGGUAACGGCUUACCAAGGCAACGAUGCGUAGCCGACCUGAGAGGGUGAUCGGCCACACUGGAACUGAGACACGGUCCAGACUCCUACGGGAGGCAGCAGUAGGGAAUCUUCCGCAAAGGGCGAAAGCCUGACGGAGCAACGCCGCGUGAGUGAUGAAGGUCUUCGGAUCGUAAAACUCUGUUAUUAGGGAAGAACAAAUGUGUAAGUAACUAUGCACGUCUUGACGGUACCUAAUCAGAAAGCCACGGCUAACUACGUG